RNAcentral lists this ribosomal RNA (536 nucleotides) under uncultured bacterium. Its description in RNAcentral is "bacterial SSU rRNA". It matches the Rfam family "Bacterial small subunit ribosomal RNA", at positions 355 to 896 of the family's 1533-position model. The record is from RNAcentral.
UGGGGAAUAUUGCGCAAUGGGCGAAAGCCUGACGCAGCGACGCCGCGUGGGGGAUGAAGCUUCUCGGAGUGUAAACCCCUUUCGACCCGGAAGAAUGUCCCGCAAGGGAUUGACGGUACCUGCAGAAGCAGCUGCGGCUAACUACGUGCCAGCAGCCGCGGUAAUACGUAGGCAGCAAGCGUUGUUCGGAGUUACUGGGCGUAAAGGGUGUGUAGGCGGCUUCCUAAGUUUGGCGUGAAAUCUCCCGGCUCAACCGGGAGGGUGCGUCGAAUACUGAGAGGCUAGAGUGCGGGAGAGGAAAGUGGAAUUCCUGGUGUAGCGGUGAAAUGCGUAGAUAUCAGGAGGAACACCGGUGGUGUAGACGGCUUUCUGGACCGUAACUGACGCUGAAACACGAAAGCGUGGGUAGCAAACAGGAUUAGAUACCCUGGUAGUCCACGCCCUAAACGAUGCAUAUUUGGUGUGGGUCAUUCAGUUGAUCCGUGCCAGAGCUAACGCGUUAAAUAUGCCGCCUGGGGAGUACAGUCGCAAGGCUG